Molecule: ribosomal RNA, 302 nt
Filed under: uncultured bacterium
Lineage: Bacteria
Description: bacterial SSU rRNA
Rfam family: Bacterial small subunit ribosomal RNA
Source: RNAcentral
AACGAACGCUGGCGGCAGGCCUAACACAUGCAAGUCGAACGCUCCGCAAGGGGGAGUGGCGCACGGGUGAGUAACACGUGGGAACCUACCUUCUGGUACGGAACAACCAAGGGAAACUUUUGGCUAAGACCGUAUACGACCUCCGGGUGAAAGAUUGAUCGCCGGAAGAGGGGCCCGCGUCCGAUUAGGUAGUUGGUGAGGUAACGGCUCACCAAAGCCUUCGAUCGGUAGCUGGUCUGAGAGGAUGACCACGCCACACUGGGGACUGAGACACGGCCCAGACUCCUACGGGAGGCAGCAGU